GAACGAUCGAAAAUAUUUGCAAUGAUAACUUUGUAGAUGAAAUAACGUAUAAACAAUGGACUCAAGUAGAUCGAUGUUCUUUGGAAACGAUUGUGAAAUCAACUGAUGAUUUCGUUGAUAAUUUGGUAGAAUCUAUUCCAAAAUUCCUUCAGCAUGAUUUUAUUGCUCGUCAACAGGCUGAAUUUUUUCAAACUACGAAAAAUAAUCUCGAAGUUGGACAAGUACUUGUUGUUGCUGACUUCUCAGAAAAUUACUCAUUUUUACUUCAAAACAGUGUCCAAGGAGCUUAUUGGAAUAAUAGUCAAGCGACAAUCCAUCCAUUUGCUUGCUAUUAUAGAUCCAUUGAUGAAAAUGUCGACAAUAUAGUACCUCUAAAUUUGAUAAUCAUUUCAGACAACUUGACGCAUAAUACAACAGCAGUUUAUAGUUUCCAGGAAGUACUGACAUCGUUUCUGAAAAAUAAAAUCCCAGACAUUUCUAAAAUAAUUUAUUUUUCGGAUGGUGCAGCAUCUCAAUAUAAAAAUCGGUACAAUUUGCUGAACUUGCUGCAUCAUGAGGAAGAUUUUCAAAUACCAGCGGAAUGGCAUUAUUUUGCAACUUCACAUGGAAAAGGUCCAAGUGAUGGUUUAGGCGGAACAUUAAAACGGAAGGUUGACAGAGCCAACCUCCAAUCUAAAGCUGACGACCAAAUUCAAACACCUGAUGAGCUAUUCCAAUGGGCAAAAGAAAAUGUUCACGGAAUCAAUUGUGACUUUGUUUCAAAUGAGCAGAUUCAGCGUACUCAAAAAAAACUUAACCAGAGAUUUAAAAAUGCUCUGCCAGUACAAGGAAUCCGAAAUUGUCAUGCCGCUAUUCCCAUUUCAAAUGAUGUGAUGAGAGUAAAAACCUCAUCCUCAUCUGAGGAAGGAAAGGAUUUUCGGUUAAAAAAUACAGAUAUCUACGAGUUCGUUGAAGAACCAUAUAUUAAAAGCAGGUUAAGAAAAAGAAAAGGAGCAACAACAGUAACUGAAGAAUUGAAGAAAAAAAAUUUUUCGUAACAGAAUGUCAAGUAAACUUACACGUAAAAAGCCCUAUUAAAUAAAUUAAUAACCAAUAAUAAACAAAUAUCAUUAA
Long non-coding RNA from Pieris napi, 1113 nucleotides. RefSeq lists it as uncharacterized. The record is from RefSeq and is a predicted model, not a curated record. The transcript has 2 exons. NCBI's taxonomy places the organism in Eukaryota, Metazoa, Arthropoda, Insecta, Lepidoptera, Pieridae.